RNAcentral lists this ribosomal RNA (584 nucleotides) under Aspergillus sp. BAB-4657. RNAcentral's name for it is "eukaryotic LSU rRNA". The stretch from base 201 to 354 matches the Rfam family "5.8S ribosomal RNA". Lineage: Eukaryota; Fungi; Ascomycota; Eurotiomycetes; Eurotiales; Aspergillaceae. The record is from RNAcentral.
CCUGCGGAAGGAUCAUUACCGAGUGUAGGGUUCCUAGCGAGCCCAACCUCCCACCCGUGUUUACUGUACCUUAGUUGCUUCGGCGGGCCCGCCAUUCGUGGCCGCCGGGGGCUCUCAGCCCCGGGCCCGCGCCCGCCGGAGACACCACGAACUCUGUCUGAUCUAGUGAAGUCUGAGUUGAUUGUAUCGCAAUCAGUUAAAACUUUCAACAAUGGAUCUCUUGGUUCCGGCAUCGAUGAAGAACGCAGCGAAAUGCGAUAACUAGUGUGAAUUGCAGAAUUCCGUGAAUCAUCGAGUCUUUGAACGCACAUUGCGCCCCCUGGUAUUCCGGGGGGCAUGCCUGUCCGAGCGUCAUUGCUGCCCAUCAAGCACGGCUUGUGUGUUGGGUCGUCGUCCCCUCUCCGGGGGGGACGGGCCCCAAAGGCAGCGGCGGCACCGCGUCCGAUCCUCGAGCGUAUGGGGCUUUGUCACCCGCUCUGUAGGCCCGGCCGGCGCUUGCCGAACGCAAAUCAAUCUUUUUCCAGGUUGACCUCGGAUCAGGUAGGGAUGCCCGCUGAACUUAAGCAUAUCAAUAAGCGGAGGAA